GGGGGCAUAAGCUAACGGUAAACUGUCGGUCUCCAAAACCGAUUUUCGAGGUUCGAGUCCUCGUGCCCCCGCAA
Molecule: transfer RNA, 74 nt
Filed under: Candidatus Yanofskybacteria bacterium RIFCSPHIGHO2_01_FULL_41_53
Lineage: Bacteria; Candidatus Yanofskyibacteriota
Also listed under: 4 other names
Description: tRNA-Trp
Rfam family: tRNA
About the family: Transfer RNA (tRNA) molecules are approximately 80 nucleotides in length. Their secondary structure includes four short double-helical elements and three loops (D, anti-codon, and T loops). Further hydrogen bonds mediate the characteristic L-shaped molecular structure. tRNAs have two regions of fundamental functional importance: the anti-codon, which is responsible for specific mRNA codon recognition, and the 3' end, to which the tRNAs corresponding amino acid is attached (by aminoacyl-tRNA synthetases). tRNAs cope with the degeneracy of the genetic code in two manners: having more than one tRNA (with a specific anti-codon) for a particular amino acid; and 'wobble' base-pairing, i.e. permitting non-standard base-pairing at the 3rd anti-codon position.
Source: RNAcentral